Molecule: unclassified non-coding RNA, 206 nt
Filed under: Hevea brasiliensis (rubber tree)
Lineage: Eukaryota; Viridiplantae; Streptophyta; Magnoliopsida; Malpighiales; Euphorbiaceae
Source: RNAcentral
CGGGGUGGACCCAACGGUUGCACAAAUAAUUAACAUGAUUGGUGCUCUUCUAGCAGAAGGAGAAAGGGGUGCCAACUCUCUUGAUCUCCUAAUAUCCGAGCUUCAUCCUGAUGUAUUGGCUGAUAUAGUCAUAACUAAUAUGAAGCACUUGCCUAAAAACAAUCCCCCUCCUUUUGCACCGGUUGGAACCUUUUCAUUACCUCGGG